Molecule: ribosomal RNA, 491 nt
Filed under: uncultured bacterium
Lineage: Bacteria
Description: partial 16S ribosomal RNA
Rfam family: Bacterial small subunit ribosomal RNA
Source: RNAcentral
AGUGAACGCUGGCGGUAGGCCUAACACAUGCAAGUCGAACGGCAGCACAGUAAGAGCUUGCUCCUACGGGUGGCGAGUGGCGGACGGGUGAGGAAUACAUCGGAAUCUACUUUUUCGUGGGGGAUAACGUAGGGAAACUUACGCUAAUACCGCAUACGACCUACGGGUGAAAGCAGGGGAUCUUCGGACCUUGCGCGAUUGAAUGAGCCGAUGUCGGAUUAGCUAGUUGGCGGGGUAAAGGCCCACCAAGGCGACGAUCCGUAGCUGGUCUGAGAGGAUGAUCAGCCACACUGGAACUGAGACACGGUCCAGACUCCUACGGGAGGCAGCAGUGGGGAAUAUUGGACAAUGGGCGCAAGCCUGAUCCAGCCAUACCGCGUGGGUGAAGAAGGCCUUCGGGUUGUAAAGCCCUUUUGUUGGGAAAGAAAAGCAGCAGGUUAAUACCCCGCUGUUCUGACGGUACCCAAAGAAUAAACACCGGCUAACUUCGU